GACGAACGCUGGCGGCGUGCUUAACACAUGCAAGUCGAACGGAAAGGCCCUGCUUUUGUGGGGUGCUCGAGUGGCGAACGGGUGAGUAACACGUGAGUAACCUGCCCUUGACUUUGGGAUAACUUCAGGAAACUGGGGCUAAUACCGGAUAGGAGCUCCUGCUGCAUGGUGGGGGUUGGAAAGUUUCGGCGGUUGGGGAUGGACUCGCGGCUUAUCAGCUUGUUGGUGGUGUAGUGGCUUACCAAGGCUUUGACGGGUAGCCGGCCUGAGAGGGUGACCGGCCACAUUGGGACUGAGAUACGGCCCAGACUCCUACGGGAGGCAGCAGUGGGGAAUAUUGCACAAUGGGCGGAAGCCUGAUGCAGCAACGCCGCGUGCGGGAUGACGGCCUUCGGGUUAUAAACCGCUUUCGCCUGUGACGAAGCGUGAGUGACGGUAAUGGGUAAAGAAGCACCGGCUAACUACGUG
Molecule: ribosomal RNA, 468 nt
Filed under: uncultured bacterium
Lineage: Bacteria
Description: partial 16S ribosomal RNA
Rfam family: Bacterial small subunit ribosomal RNA
Source: RNAcentral